CUGGCCUGAUUGCGGGGCGGGGUCUUUAUAUGUCCUGUCCUCCCAUUCAACCCAUUGUUCCUCGAUGUUCACCUGACGGGCUGUGUUGCUAUCCGCUGGUCAGUUGGUUCGAUCAUUUGUGGGACAUAAAGGUAAGCAUGAGUUUUCAUGCUUGGACUGUGUUAAUUGGGUAUCUUGGUGUGACAGCAGCCGUGAUGUUUCAUUCACAGCGUGGUCUGCUGCUGGCGUGGAUGUACAAGAGGUGCUUUAAGUGUGGUGUUUGCUCUCCAUUAUCAUCAUCAUCAUCUAAAAGACGGUGACUGGUUUGGCCUGAGCAUAAAGCUAACUUCACUCUGGUAGGCUAGCUGUUUGGUUGUGUUUUUUUUAGUUGUUUAUUUGCUGCAUGGUAACCUGCCUUACUUUCUUUGUAGCUGCUGCAGCCAUAGAUUGUGGCUCUCCUCUGUGGCUCUCCACUGCUCGGCGCUCCGUGCGAGGCUCCACUUCUGCCCACUACGUUGGUCGCCAGCUGGGCAUCCUAAAGGACGGCUUCCCUAGGCCUCCAGCCCAUGUGCGGCCGCUCCAUUUCUCUGCUGCUUCUUUGGAGUCACAUACCAUACAAAGAACUGGUUUAUCCCCCGACACUACCUAUUUCUGAGCUUAAUUAUUUAUUUUCUUUGGUUUAUUUAGGUUGUUAAGCGUAUAGGUUAUCGAGUGAAACUUUUUAUUUUGUUUAGUUGAGUAUUUGUUUUGGUAUUUAGUUCAUUACUCAAUUAAGUUAGGUUUAUUCUUUUCUUUUUGUGUGUGUGUGUGUGUUUUUAGAAUGGGUCAUUUAACCCAUUUUUUAACAGUAUUACAUAUUGCUUUUUGGAGUGACCAACUGUAGUAUUGAUUUUCUUCUUUCUUUUUCAGGAGCUGGCCACAGACUUCCCCGUUGGUGGCCUCCCCCUUCACUCCCUUUAGUUGCCGUGGCACGUGGUGGUUUGGUUUGUAGGAUUUUCUUUGGUUUGUAGUAAUUUUCCUUGGUUUGCAGUGGUUUUCUUUGGUUUUGAAUUUUUUUCUUUUUUACUUUAGUCUGUUUGCUACCAAGUCUCCUGGUUCCCGUUUUUGUUUACUGUGUUUAUUGUUUAUUGGCACUCCGAGGAUUAUUAUUCAUAUUUGUGCUCUUUUAAAAACAAAAGUUGAAAUAAAUAAAAUUGUUUUAAUCUUUUUGGAAGUCCGUCUCUCGUCC
Molecule: non-coding RNA, 1207 nt
Organism: Xyrichtys novacula (pearly razorfish)
Lineage: Eukaryota; Metazoa; Chordata; Actinopteri; Labriformes; Labridae
Source: the annotation of a GenBank genome assembly